CCUACGGGAGGCAGCAGUGAGGAAUAUUUGUCAAUGGCCGCAAGCCUGAACCAGCAAAGCCGCGUGAAGGAAGAAGGCUUUCGGGUUGUAAACUUCUUUUGACAGGGGAGAACAGGAGACGGUGCCUGUAGAAUAAGCCAUGGCUAACUACGUGCCAGCAGCCGCGGUAAUACGUAGGUGGCAGGCGUUAUCCGGAUUUAAUGCGUUUAAAGGGUGUGUAGAGGGGUUUAUAAGUCAGGUGUGAAAUUCUGGUGCUCAACCCACGAACUGCAUUUGAAAAUGGUGGUCUUGAGUAUCAGUGAGGGAGGCGGAAUUCCUAGUGUAGCGGUGAAAUGCGUAGAUAGUAGGAGGAACACCAGUUGCGAAGGCGGCCUGCUGGACGACAACUGACGGUGAGGCACGAAAGCGUGGGGAUCAAACAGGAUUAGAUACCCCUGUAGUC
Molecule: ribosomal RNA, 442 nt
Filed under: uncultured bacterium
Lineage: Bacteria
Description: partial 16S ribosomal RNA
Rfam family: Bacterial small subunit ribosomal RNA
Source: RNAcentral